This 74-nucleotide ribosomal RNA is filed under the name Pseudoselenomonas ruminantium. Its description in RNAcentral is "Selenomonas ruminantium (feces metagenome) partial 23S ribosomal RNA". Lineage: Bacteria; Bacillati; Bacillota; Negativicutes; Selenomonadales; Selenomonadaceae. The record is from RNAcentral.
GGUAGAUAGGUUGGGAGUGGAAGUGCUGUAAGGCAUGCAGCGGACCAAUACUAAUAAAUCGAGGGCUUAUCUUU